This 254-nucleotide ribosomal RNA is filed under the name uncultured bacterium. RNAcentral's name for it is "partial 16S ribosomal RNA". It matches the Rfam family "Bacterial small subunit ribosomal RNA", at positions 524 to 776 of the family's 1533-position model. RNAcentral also lists the same sequence under 1 other name. The record is from RNAcentral.
UACGUAGGGGGCGAGCGUUGUCCGGAUUUACUGGGCGUAAAGAGCUCGUAGGCGGUUUGGUAAGUCGGGUGUGAAACCUCCAGGCUCAACCUGGAGUCGCCACUUGAUACUGCCAUGACUUGAAUCCGGUAGGGGACCAUGGAAUUCCUGGUGUAGCGGUGAAAUGCGCAGAUAUCAGGAGGAACACCAGUAGCGAAGGCGGUGGUCUGGGCCGGUAUUGACGCUGAGGAGCGAAAGCGUGGGGAGCGAACAGG